This 69-nucleotide non-coding RNA is filed under the name Acinetobacter qingfengensis. RNAcentral's name for it is "Fluoride sequence". It matches the Rfam family "Fluoride riboswitch aptamer (crcB RNA motif)". The record is from Rfam by way of RNAcentral. Lineage: Bacteria; Pseudomonadati; Pseudomonadota; Gammaproteobacteria; Moraxellales; Moraxellaceae.
GAUCCAUCGGGAAAUGGCAUACUUCCCUAUACAAACCGCCAAUUGUUGGCUAAUGAUGCCUACGUAACC